This is a long non-coding RNA of Alosa sapidissima (American shad), 470 nucleotides long. RefSeq lists it as uncharacterized. The record is from RefSeq and is a predicted model, not a curated record. The transcript has 4 exons. Lineage: Eukaryota; Metazoa; Chordata; Actinopteri; Clupeiformes; Clupeidae.
UUGGUGCUGGACACUAUUGUGCGAGUUGGGCUCCCUUUUCAUGCAGGGUAAUUUCUAGAAGGUUGUGUCUACUCUUCACGGAGGACACAGGCUUCUGCAUGGAGUUUUAACAUUUGUGAUCACCUCAUUGUGACCUGAGCUGCUGGGCUGCAUUGCAACGGAACAUUCACCUUUUUGCCCUCAUGUGUCAAUGAGCUGUGGACAGUUGAGCAUAUUGAAAAGCUAUCCCUGUACAAGGCCGGAUCCACACUGAUGCUUUGCCCCUUCUUGCCAAGGGACCACAUUGGGAGACACUGUCUUGGUGUGUACUAGUCUAUAACUACAACACGGUGUGAUAUUUUGUAGUGGUAUCUAAAGACCUUAAGUGUGUAGUGCUUGCUGCAACAGGACACGUGUGACAUUUUGUAGUGGAAUCUGAAGAUCUUGAGUGUGUAGUGCUUGCUGUGUUGCAUGCUUCGUCUGGUGUUGGG